GUGCUCGCUGCAGCAGCACAUAUACUAAAAUUGGAACGAUAGGGAAGAUUAGCAUGGUCUCUGAGCAAGGAUGACAUGCAAAUUCAUGAAGCAUUCCAUAUUUUU
Heterocephalus glaber (naked mole-rat) is the source of this 105-nucleotide small nuclear RNA. The record is from Ensembl. NCBI's taxonomy places the organism in Eukaryota, Metazoa, Chordata, Mammalia, Rodentia, Bathyergidae.